UACAGCCAUAUCUCGUUGAAACACCGAUUUUCAUACGAUAACCCAAGUUAAGCAACUUCGUGUCUGGUUAGUAUCUAUAUGGGUGACCGCUUGGAAAUACCAGGUGCUGUAAG
Non-coding RNA from Acanthosepion pharaonis, 113 nucleotides. The record is from the annotation of a GenBank genome assembly. NCBI's taxonomy places the organism in Eukaryota, Metazoa, Mollusca, Cephalopoda, Sepiida, Sepiidae.